AGUGAACGCUGGCGGUAGGCCUAACACAUGCAAGUCGAACGGCAGCACAGUAAGAGCUUGCUCUUACGGGUGGCGAGUGGCGGACGGGUGAGGAAUACAUCGGAAUCUACUUUUUCGGGGGGGAUAACGUAGGGAAACUUACGAUAAUACCGCAUACGACCUACGGGUGAAAGCAGGGGAUCUUCGGACCUUGCGCGACUGAAUGAGCCGAUGUCGGAUUAGCUAGUUGGCGGGGUAAAGGCCCACCAAGGCGACGAUCCGUAGCUGGUCUGAGAGGAUGAUCAGCCACACUGGAACUGAGACACGGUCCAGACUCCUACGGGAGGCAGCAGUGGGGAAUAUUGGACAAUGGGCGCAAGCCUGAUCCAGCCAUACCGCGUGGGUGAAGAAGGCCUUCGGGUUGUAAAGCCCUUUUGUUGGGAAAGAAAAGCAGCAGGUUAAUACCCCGCUGUUCUGACGGUACCCAAAGAAUAAGCACCGGCUAACUUCGUG
RNAcentral lists this ribosomal RNA (492 nucleotides) under uncultured bacterium. RNAcentral describes it as "partial 16S ribosomal RNA". It matches the Rfam family "Bacterial small subunit ribosomal RNA", at positions 29 to 507 of the family's 1533-position model. The record is from RNAcentral.